Molecule: microRNA, 22 nt
Filed under: Triticum aestivum (bread wheat)
Lineage: Eukaryota; Viridiplantae; Streptophyta; Magnoliopsida; Poales; Poaceae
Description: tae-miR9654b-3p
Source: miRBase by way of RNAcentral
UUCCGAAAGGCUUGAAGCGAAU